This is an RNA transcript of Diachasmimorpha longicaudata, 4315 nucleotides long. It is a transcript of the gene named probable E3 ubiquitin-protein ligase HERC4, with no coding region annotated. The transcript has 4 exons. The record is from RefSeq and is a predicted model, not a curated record. NCBI's taxonomy places the organism in Eukaryota, Metazoa, Arthropoda, Insecta, Hymenoptera, Braconidae.
AACUCAAUACUAGUUGAGUCGUGACAAGCAUGAUCGUAGCACUGGACUAGACGUGAGAAGAAUAACAAAUUAAAUUUACCUAAAUUUACGGACAUAAAUUAUCGAUUUAUUUGGCGAUAUCGGUAGUCAUUAUAAAUUAGGGGUGUUCAAACAACAUGACGAGUGACACUAUCAUAUCGAGAAAUUCAUUAACAACAGCUUUGUGAUUGUGCAUCCCUUUGUUCGUGAAUUUAAAUUCACCUAGUAAGUCAUCACAAUUGACCUGAGGACAAGCACUCCCGCUAUUUGAACGUACUUGCUUAUUAGGGUGUAGAGGAGUUGAUUUGUAGCACCGAAAAGAGUAAGCAGUGUGGAGAUGCCUUGACCGAACGGUCGUUGCUUCAUUUAUUUGCACUAAAAUUCCCUGGGAUAAUACCGUUGGGUGACGAUGGGAUAAUACGGACUUGGAAUUUGAAAUGGCAGGCAACUCGAAGAAGCGUAGACUGGACAUAGACCCUACCGUGACCCUCGUAACUCCACAAUCCGAUCCCCAUCCCAAUCAGGACCCGGACAUGUUCUGCUGGGGCAGUACCGCUCACGGCGAGCUCGGCCUGGGGGGCAUUGAGGACGAGAAUAUCCUCAUUCCCCGUGAGGUAGACUUCGAUAAAGCCACUCAAGUAAUGCAAAUCUCCUGCGGUGAGAACUACACAAUUCUCAUAACGACCGAAGGUCACCUCUAUUCCUGUGGCAACAACGACUAUGGUCAGCUGGGGCGUCUGAAGUCCCGCAAAAGAUUCCAGGAAAUCCCCUCACUCGACGCCUUCGUCUUCAAGAGAGUCUCCUGUGGGGGCAGUCACAGCCUCGCAAUCAACGAAUGGGGCCAGUUAUUCUGUUGGGGCAGCAAUUCAGACGGACAACUGGGCUUAAACUCCCACGUUCCUAUCGAGGAAACACCCCGGAUGGUGAAGAGCCUCGGUGCUAAUUUCAUCGUCCAGGUGGCUUGUGGCCUGAAGCACGCCCUGGCGUUGACCAACAACGGAGAACUCUACGCCUGGGGCAGCAACGUAGAGGGUCAACUGGGUCUCGGCACUGACAUCAAGACUGAAUUAAAACCGAAGCUCAUCACUUCUUUGGCAGGGAUUCCCAUAGCCUUCGUAGCGUGCGGUGGUUAUCACUCCCUCAUCGUCUCCAAGUCCGGGGCAAUCUACGCCUGGGGGAGGAAUACCUUCGGCCAACUGGGUAUUCCCGUCCCUGGAAACGUACACUAUCCCCACCAGCUGCGAACUCUGAGAUCAACAAAGGUGAGGUACAUUUCCUGCGGAGAGAACUUCACAGCAUUUCUCACUAUCGACGGUGGAGUCUUCACCUGUGGCGCCGGUAUGUAUGGACAGUUGGGACAUGGAACGAACAGCAACGAAGUUCUCCCUCGGAAGAUAAUGGAGCUAAUGGGGAGUGUUGUCACCCAGAUAACGUGUGGUAGACGCCAUAUGCUGGCGCUGGUACCCUCCAGGGGUCGCGUAUAUGCCUGGGGUCUCGGGGGCGCGGGACAAUUAGGAAUUAAGGGGACCUGCAGUGUUCCCGUUCCGCAGGUAGUUCUCGGUCCUUGGGUUUCCCCCAACGGCACCUCCAUCUAUACCAUUGACGGUCCCAAGAGUGAAUACAGCGUUGACUGCGUCGUAAGACACAUUUACUCGGGGGGUGAUCACUGUUUCGCGACAGUCAACAAAAGGGAGGAGAACGUGAAGCCAGAUGAUUGCAGAUAUUACGACGGUUUCUCGCAGAUCCUGAUGGUCACUGAGGACCACCUCCGGGACUGUCAGAGAGUAGCUGCGGGAGAGAUUCUGGAUCACGACUUGAUGACUUAUUUGGAGACUGUUUUCAGGAGUCAAGCCUGCAUCAAUGCCUCGUUUCUCCUCGAUGACGAUGUGCAUUAUGGAUGCUCGAGCAAGCACUCGGGUGUUGACGUUGAAAAGGCAUCAAGAAUGUUCGGGUUGAUAACAGACAUAGAAAACGUGACUAUUCAGGAGUUGAUCUUCACGUCGAUUGUUGAAGGACUCAUUCCUUCGUUGGUUGCCUCUCCACCAGACGUGGAGACACUCAGGAUUUACGUUGUCCUUCCCCUGUACCAUGGGUUCAUGGAGGUGAAUAAUGGGAGUAGUCUACAGGUGCCUUUUGCUAAGGCCCUGCUGUCACUGAAGGCCGAGGCCCGGAAGGUCGUUGGAAUAUGGUGGACGAAGGCCCCUGUUCAGGUCUUUCAUAGGCUGAUUAGAUCGUACAAGGCAGUGAUUCUUUCCAUGAUUAAGGAUGCCAGAGAAGCUGACAACAGUUCUAUUUGCAAAGAUCGGGCGUUGAAAUGUUGUCUGGAUAUUCUUCAGUUCAUUAAUGAGUUGAAUAAGACGCAGAGCGAAGGAUUGCGCGUUCCUUAUGACAUGUUCUAUAUGCCUGAACUUUCAGAUUUAAUCGCCAUUUCAAUGGACUAUGUUAAAUUUUCCACAAGUCUUGAUCCCUUCGCAAGUGGUAUUUCUUUCUGCCAUUAUCCUUUCUUGUUCGACGCUCAAGCCAAAACCAUUCUCUUGGAGACUGAUCAGGAGAUACAGAAGUACUCAGCGAUGAACGAAGCCGCCCACAGGGCCAUUAGGAACAUCUUUAUUAAUAAUCAUACCGUUACAAUCCAGCAAUUUCUCAUGCUCAAUGUCUCCAGGGAGAAUCUCGUUGCGGAUACACUGAGGGAACUGUCAGCUCAAGAGUCGAGUGAUCUAAAAAAACCUCUGAAGGUCAAGUUCUUUGGAGAAGAAGCUGAGGACGCCGGUGGCGUCAAGAAGGAAUUCUUCAUGCUUCUGCUCAAGGAGAUACUGGAUCCCAAGUAUGGAAUGUUUAAGCAGUAUGAGGAGACCAGAACCAUCUGGUUCCGUGAAGACUCAUUCGAAGGCGAACAGAUGUACUUCUUAAUUGGCAUUCUCUGUGGCCUCGUUAUCUACAAUUUUAUCAUUAUUAAUCUGCCCUUUCCACUGGCCCUUUACAAGAAAUUACUCGAGGAGAAAGUGACUCUGGCUGACCUCAAAGACCUCUCGCCAGUCCUCGCAAGGAGCUUGCAAAGUGUCUUGGAUUAUGAGAAUGCGGAUCUUGAGGAUGUGUUUUGUCUGAAUUUUGAGGUGACACGUGAGUUUUUUGGGGAACAGAGAGUUUAUGAGCUUGUGCCUGGUGGAAGCAAGACUCCAGUGACUUUGGAGAAUAAGAAAGAAUUUGUUGAUCUUUAUGUGGAUUAUAUUUUUAAUAAAUCUGUGGAAUCACAGUUUGCGGCGUUUUACAAGGGAUUCCAUAAGGUGUGUGGGGGACAUGUGCUGAAGCUGUUUUACAGUCAUGAACUGAUGGCCGUUGUCGUUGGAAAUGAAAAUUAUGACUGGAAGGAGUUGGAGGCGAAUGCUUCGUAUAAGGAAGGCUACUCCAAGGACGAUCCAACGAUCGUCAUGUUCUGGGAGAUUUUUCAUGAACUUCCACUUGAGGAGAAGAAGAAGUUCUUAUUGUUCCUCACAGGGAGUGAUAGGAUACCUAUUCAGGGGAUGAAAGCUAUUAAGAUUACUAUCCAACCAAUGACUGAUGACAAGUAUUUACCAGUUGCCCACACGUGCUUCAACCUUCUGGACUUGCCGCGAUACCAAACGAGGGAAAGACUCAGGUACAAACUACUUCAAGCCAUUCAACAAACCCAAGGAUUCUCACUGGUCUGAUGAUGUCUCCUCGUCAUUCCCAAGAUAUUUUCUUACGAAUCGAUCGCCAGAUGGGAGAUACCGCUUGGAGACCCCUGUGCCUCGGAAUUUCACCACCUGAUGCAAUACGUGCGGAAAAUUCUCGAUAUUCAUCUAGAAUGAAUGGAAAGCCCUGGGUUACAUUGGAAAGGUUUUUCACUUGGCUGGGUUGAGCAUCGUUAUAGAAAAUAUUUUGUCUUCCUGGUGACGAUGAACAAGAGCCAACUCUGAAGUUUACGAUAAUCACUACUCGCAUCUGCACAUGGGCCAAAUAAGCAUUUGUAUUUCAACGCAGAAAUCAGUGAUAAAGGAGAAAUGUUGAGAAAGAAAGAUAAAUUCCUAACUUGUAAGUUGUAAUUGAAUUUUAAUUUUAUCUAAUAAUUUGACUAUUCUAAUUUUAAAGUUUAAUUUCCUCAGUUGUCUCAGAAGUCUAAUAUUUCGGUUUUAUUUUUUAAUAUCAAAUCAUAAAGAAAAUUGGAGACUCGACAAUAGAAUAUUUUUUAUAGAAAAUUAUAUAGAACGUCUAUUGGGAUUCCCAAGUUUAAUGUUCAAUUUUUCACAUCGAGAGGCAAUAAAAAAUCUAGAAAAUU